This 513-nucleotide ribosomal RNA is filed under the name Thermococcus sp. RNAcentral's name for it is "partial 23S ribosomal RNA". It matches the Rfam family "Archaeal large subunit ribosomal RNA", at positions 2375 to 2888 of the family's 2987-position model. The record is from RNAcentral. Lineage: Archaea; Methanobacteriati; Methanobacteriota; Thermococci; Thermococcales; Thermococcaceae.
GCCCUAAGGUCGGCUCAGGCGGGUCAGGAAUCCGCCGUAGAGUGCAAGGGCAAAAGCCGGCCUGACUGGACCCGUAACAGAGGCGGGUCCAGCCGCGAAAGCGUGGCCUAGCGAACCCCAGAGCCUCCCCGGUGGGGGCCUGGGAUGACAGAAAAGCUACCCUGGGGAUAACAGAGUCGUCUCGGGCGAGAGCCCAUAUCGACCCCGAGGCUUGCUACCUCGCUGUCGGCUCUUCCCAUCCUGGUCCUGCAGCAGGGGCCAAGGGUGGGGGUGUUCACCCAUUAAAGGGGAACGUGAGCUGGGUUUAGACCGUCGUGAGACAGGUCGGAUGCUAUCUACCGGGGGUGCUGGCUGCCUGAGGGGAAGGCGCCCUUAGUACGAGAGGAACAGGGUGCCGCGGCCUCUGGUCUACCGGUUGUCCUACAGGGCAUAGCCGGGCAGCUACGCCGUAUCCGAUAAGGCCUGAAGGCAUCUAAGGCCGAAGCGGUCCCCGAAAACAGGCAGCCACUCCCU